GCGAAGUUGCGCGCCCGGACUUCUGCCGGGCAUGUGCAGUAAGGAGGUGGGGGCCACCUCCCCGCGAGCUGCGUGGUGGCGCCGAGCCUGUGGCGCAGACCCUAGUGGGCCGGCAGGUGGCAGGAGGGAACCUUGUUUGAAAGGAUUUGGGCGAAGCGAUGGGCGGGGGGCCUGGCGGGUGGCAAGGAGCAAGCGGCAAGCUAGCCCCAGGUCCAGUACUUGGGCAGGUGGGCGCAGGCUCCCGUGGGGUCGUGCCCCUCCCCAGUUUCCCCAGUUAUUGGGGAAAUAAACACAGCCUGGGAGCAGCUAAAAACCCAGAACCCCAAAUAGCAAAUAUUCAGGGGAAUGAGGGUCUGUCUAUACACGAGUAUUAAGCCUCUAGCAUUUUCCAAUGGCUUAAUAGUUUGAGGAUGGUAACUUCGGGCAGCCAUUAAUCAUGAAACUACCUUUAGCAGAUCUGUUAUAGUGACUGUAAUUAGAAAAGUUUCCAAACAAUACGUGCUCAAACAGUCUGAAUUGGCUAAUUACCUCAUCUUCUUCAACAAGGGCCCCCACGGUUGAGGUAGUAGUUUGCAAGUCUGCAAGCCCAUCUGAGGACUGCCCUGAGCUCGAUUGAGCUGAGAAGGUGGUGCUGGAAGUGGACUGGAGCUGAGAGCAUGGGUAAAGGGAAGUCUUUCCUGCGCUCUCAGUUCACACAACCACUUCUCUCCUGCGGGGCAGUUCAGGGUGACACGGAAUCCUCACUGGAGGCCCCUUACAGCCAUUUCCUAGGUAGGUUUUUUUUUUUUUUUUUUUUUUUUUGAGACAGAAUCUUGCUCUGUCACCCAAGCUGGAGUGCACUGAUGUGAUCUUGGGUCACUGCAACCUCUGCCUCCUGGCUUCAAGAGAUUCUCCUACCUAAGCCUCCUGAGUAGCUGGGAUUACAGGCGUGCACCACUACGCUCGGCUAAUUUUUGUAGUUUUAGUAGAGAGGGGUUUCGCCAUAUUGGCCAGGCUGGUUUCAAACUCCUGACCUCAAGUGAUCCGCCCGCCUCGGCCUCCCAAAGUGCUGGGAUUACAGGCGUGAGCCACCGCGCCCGGCUCCUAGAUAGGUUUUUAACAAAGGUAACUCAGCAAUACUCAUUGGGUGCCUUGCAUGUGCCAAGCUGUGUUUUAGGUGCUGAAGGUAGAGUAGUGAACAACAACAACAAAAGUAUUGUAUUAAGGAAAGGAUAUUUUGGAUUAAUUUGCUGUGAAUCAGGAGAUUGAAUCAGUCAGAAUCCCUCUGUACCCACCAACAUUGUUUAAUCUAGCUUGAAUUCCACAUGAGAAAAUGAUUGGAUCAGGGCUAGGGGGCGGUCAGACACCACUAGAUCGUGUUGUUGUACUCUGCAAGGCUGAAGAUUUGGAGUAAAUAGUGCCGCUCUUUCUUGGCCCUAGAAAAUCAAAUGAUGGCCUACAGGAGGAGAUCCCUACAGUGGGAGCUAACCUGGCUGCUGCUUUUGAGGUGUGCGUGUCUUCAGUCUGGCCCUCCAUGAUGAUUAUGGGGUGCCUUUUUGGCCAUAGUGACAAGUCCAAAGGCGAAACAACUCAGAGCAAAGCCAUCAUCCUAAAAUCCCUGGGAGUAUCAAGAAGGUUGUUUCACUUAGGACACAUGUCAUGGGUUGUGGUCCUUUUCUCCUUCUUGAGUCAGUAUGGGGAAUCUUAAAAAAAGAGGCUCUACCACUGGGUGGCCCACCAGGCCCUCCUGGUACUGGUACUUCUGCCUGGUGUCUGAAGAGUCAGUCAGGUACCCACAGCCAUUCUCACCAUGAUGGAACUUAACCUCACACCUUCAACACCACACCCGUAUUAAAACCACUAAGUGCAGAGUUCAUACCCCAGUGAGAGACCAGCAACUGCUUUGGAUGUGUUGAGGUUUUCCUUUCUGCAUCUUGGCUGUGUCUAGCUUGUAUCUUGCACUCUGUGUUAGUUUGUAGCAUUAAAAUAGUGAUUGGGCUGGGCAUGGUGGCUCUCACCUAUGAUCCCAGCACUUUGGGAGGCCGAGGCGGGUGGGUCACUUGAGGCCAGGAGUUCAAGACCAGCCUGACCAACAUGGUGAAAUCCUGUCUCUACUAAAAAUACAAAAAUUAGCCAGGCGUGUUGACGCACGCUUGUAGUUCCAGCUACUCGGGUGGCUGAGCCACAAGAAUUGCUUGAACCUGGGAGGUUAGUCUGAUAAAGUAGGAUUGACUUGUCAAACCCCACAAAAGGACAAAUGUCUAUGUUCCAGUUGUGCCCUGCUCUACCACUUUUCCUGUGGAACAGCAAGGGUUUUAUUAUCACAGGUGCCUGCGUGGCUGUAGUCACUGUGUGGAUAUUAUCAUGGGACACUGGGCAGGGGCAUUUAGAGCUGUAUAUUUCAAAUCCUCAUCUCCGCUUCUGAGUCCCAACUAAUGGGGCACGUUUCCAGAGAGUCUGCCUACACUGACCCACCCACUUUAUUUCUUCUAAUUAGCACAGCUCCAUCGACAGCAUAUGGAACAGAAAUAUAUUAUUCAAGCUGAUUUCAGGGCACGUUGGGGGAAAAAUCAGGAAUAUAUGGGUGCUAGUAAAUGCCCUUUGAAUGGAAACUAAUGUCAGCUGUCAGCAACGAGGUAGAUUAUGAUUCUUUAGUGUACAUAAGAAAGUACUUCAUUCUUCAGAUGGAGUGCUUUUAUGCCUAUAAAGGAGAUGGCAGCCCAGAGCUGAUUCACUAAUAUAGAUACACCGAGAUUGCCUGCAUUAUUAAAAAAUGUGCAUUACAUAAUACAUAUAUUUGGACUAGAUUCUGCAUUAGCAAUGCGCUUUCUUUGCAAGAUGCAUUUUAAUCAGCAAACACACAUUUAACAAAAGACUGCAUUUUUGAGCCCCAGUCCUGUGUAGUUAUAAAUACAUCUCAGUGUACAUUCACCACAGGCUCUGGGAGGAAGGAGUGGGGGACUGCACUGAGAUGCCAUUCCAUCUCACACUUAGUGCCGAGGUCGAGCAAAUGGAGCCGUACAGCAGAUGCUCUUUAAAAUGCAUUACGUGCGUGACUUUAAAAAGUGCUCGCUGCAGAGUGAAUUUCAAAAAGGAGCAAGUGGGUGAUGAACCACCUCUGUUGUUACCGGGCUGAGGAACAAGGGGCUCUCUCUGUCUGCUGGUAAAUAAAGUAUGGGCAUAUAUCACUUGCGGGUCUCUGCUGGAGGGAGGCUCCUAAACCAGUUGGACAGGAAAGCGCAGUUCCCAGCUCACUACAGUAUCAUACAGUAAGCUUCUGAUUCGGAUAAAUUGUGAAGAAUAUUGUCUCUAGCUCCUUAAAGGAUUUUCAUGUGGAAGAGGCCUUAAGAUUUAUUAUAUAUGGCUCUAGAGGGCAAAAUUAGAACCUAUCGGUGGUAGUUGUAGCAGAAAGCCUUCAGCGCAACCCAAAGAAGAAUCUGACAUGGAGUGGGCUGUCAGAAAGUUGGCGCUUUGUCAGAAGCAAUGUGAAGUCAAAGGACAGGUAACCACACACUGGAGAUGUUUUUCGUGGUGUGCGUGAGCAAGUGGGGUUGGAACUCGGUGCCCACCGCAGUCUUAUCAGGUUAGCCUCUGAUUCCAUUGAAGGCCUCUGUAGGCUGUGGGAGAAGGGUUUGGGGGCUCUACUGAUGGACACGAUCCUCCCCCCCGCCCCCACUUUUUACUAUUUUGGAAGCAUUGAAAGUGCAAGUGGCUCAGUGACAGGAAGGAGUGUUGGGGUGGCAGUUUUAAGACAGGGCAAACAGAUGUGUGCAAUGGACCCAGCGGCCUGUGGAGCUUUCCUCACCAAGGCAGGGCGUGGAGGCUCUUUGCUCCACAACUCAUCACUUGUUGAAGCAAAGAAAUGAGUCAAGUCCAUCUGUUAAUUACAUUGGUUCUCUUUGCCUCCUCUCCUGGAGCUGUCUCGGAAAUUACAAAUGAAAUUGGCUAUUUAGCAAUCAUAAAUUGAGCCACUUCUAUGAUCAAGACACUAUUCCGGGCACUGUGGGGAGAUCGAAGUAAUUGAGGAUGAGCAAUUCCUGCCAUCCAACAUCACACACAUUGAUGUGAAGUGCCCCCAAAUAUUAAAACCAGAUUGCUGACAGGUGUAGAGUAAUACAUUCCAGCCCAGAUAGACAGGGAGGGAAGUUGAGUAACUGGUUAGAAUCAGAGGUACAGUUCAUCUUGUGAUUUUCAGAAAGAGAUGAGUCUUUACCUAGUCUGACUCUGAGAUUUUCUUUUGAUUUUUAAAAGCCCAUGAGAAUUGCUUUCAAUCCACUUGUUUCUAACCAUGUGUCUACCGUGUGCAAAGCCAUGUGCCAGUGGCCCUGGGGGAGACAGAUGAAUCAUGGGUUCUCAGAAGGCUUGCAGGCUAUUGUCAGAGGUCCCACAGACCUCAAUGCAUUUUCUAAGAUGAAACUCAAGAUAAUGGAUUGGUUCUGCCCUGCCUGGUGAGCGGGUAUAAUCACUCUUGAAGAUAUUUUUUGGAUAAUCAUUGGAAAGGACUAUUUUUGGAGAUGAAGAGCUUUUCCAACUUUCCUUUGGACAGAAAUGAAUUCAGGGAGUUUGCAGCACUCGCUACCCCUCACUGUGGCAAUCAGCCAGUAAGGCUCAACCCCACCGAGAAUUUGGUAUUGGCCCCUCCCGCCUGUUCCCCAGAGAGGACCAGGUACAAUGCAGAAGCAUUUGGCUCAGCUCUCUAGGGUGCUAUUUUGCUGCUAUUCAGACUGCGCUGAUAUCAAUUGGCUCUCACCAGUAGAAAUGGUGAAAACCUCGAGCUCCUGAUUUUGAGAUUUGGGGGAAUGCCAUCUAGAGCUAAAAGCAAACAAUAGAGGGAAAUAAUCACCUUUUUGACAUGGCUGGUUUCUGUCCAGGCCAUUUUUGGGAUUACAAUACUGUAUUUGUGCCAUUCGUUUUUAAAGGGCGUAGGAUCAGAAAGGAGCCUUCGUUCUGUGCGUAGAGAUUGCUCGGAGCUGUCUUCCCAGGAGCUCCCUUACUUUCUCUUCACUUCGUGCUCUGUUGAGCUUCUCCUACUGAUAAGUGCCUAUCUCCCUCUCUCUCCCUCUGCCACAGGAGGAGCAAUUUCUAGACUCUGGAUCCAACGGGAAGCAUCUAGAAGCCCCCUUGCUCAGGCAAAGCAUCAGUACCCAAGAGGGGUACAGGCCCUCUUGGACGUGGUGUCUCAUUUCUCUCCCGUGGCCCUGGAGCUUGGCAUUCUGUAUUCUCCGGUUCAGACCCUGGACUCUGACACCCUGCCUUGCUUCAUCUUGAGUUCCGGCUGUCUGCCCAGCCGGACCUACACUGAGCUUGUCUGGUUCUUUCCUGCAGCCAGUUGAGACAUCAUUGUCCCAGGACACCCCCAGUCUACGGGGUUCUGGCCCCAGAUGUCCACCUCUGCCCUGCCCACCAGCAGCCAUGCCAGCCAGUGAGCUGUGGGUGAAAACACUGCUGAUUGCAAAGGACCACUCAACCGUCAGGAAAGCUCUCGGCUCAUAGCUUUGUCUUUUGUCCAGCUGUCCUGGACAUCCUAUCUUUCCUCUAGCCCCUAGCCCUGACAGAGAGCCUCAAAGUUGUUUUCAUCUUAUCUGCUGAGGAUCUGACUCACCCCAUCAGACUUCUGGGAGGGAGAGAGCGAGCGCGCCUCGAGCCCGGAGGGGAGAAACCCUUAGUGUUGUCACGGUUUAGGCACACGCUCAUAGAAAUCCUUGCAGCUCGAGCUCUUCAAAAUAUGAUUAGACCAAUUUUACAUGUCUAGUCACUGAGGCUCCAGUAGAUUGGGACUAUUUCUAUAUGUGCAAAGUGAAGUGGAUAAUUGAGGCAAUUAUCUUCAGGCAAAUGAAUCUGGGCACUGUAAUCAGUCCAUCCUGAUAACUGGGGAGAAAUCGGCGUCAUUCACUGUAGCAUUGCUUUGCGUUAAAGAGAAUUCUAAGGUAUUUGUUUGUUAUUUUCGCUUGGCUUCAUUUUUCUAAAAGACAGUCCAGUGAAGAUGAGGUCCUGCCUCGUGCUGGUGUUAGGAUGUGUGGACCCCUUAGGUCUCAGUCAGGUGUGUGUGGGGUUGAUCUGGACGAGUUGAUAAUCAGAUCAGUGCCCUAGCCGGGUGCAUCCUUGGCUUCCUUGUGGUGGAUACUUGGUUUCCACAUCAGGGUUUUCUUUCCACUUCUUCUUUCCUUGUGUAUGAGAACCCUGAGGUGUUGGAUGGGUUGGUCUACAAGGUCACCUCCACUGCUAGGAUGAUAGGAUUCCUAAUAGGGCCCAUGAGUGACAUACAUUGUGCAUGAUAAAAUAUCAUGGAGCCAGGAGAAUGAAAGAAGGGCCUCUCAACGUCAGAAAUGAGAAUGCACUGGAGGCUGGUGAUUACUUCUGGACCCCCGCUUCCCCAUCCAUUGUUUCGGCUAAAAGUCAUCAUAAAUUGGGAGUCCUUCCCUUUACUGGUCUAGAAGUUCCCUCAGGAAGCAGCCGUCACUUCUCUCCCUGCUCUUCACUGAGGAGGGAGGGAAGAGGAGCAAGAGAAGACUUUCCGGUUUUCCAAAUGGCAGAUUUGGUUUCAGGCAUGUGAGGAGCCACAUAUAAAAAGAAAAGGCAUUGAGGCAUGUGAGAUUUGACUUAAGUGGAGGAGAUCCUCGCCUUUAAGCAAUAAUCUGUGUAUUUAGGGAGCCAAUGGCCCAGCAAGAAGUCCAGCAGUGCCUCCUGAGUGCCUGGGCACCUGGUGGAGAUGGUGCAGGGUCCCUGGCAAAAGAGCCUCUGGGACAGGAGUUGUAGCCGCCAGCCUGUGUCACACACUCACACUCACAAUUAGAGGACAACGGGAAUUUAAUUAACUUCCAAAGUGUGAUUUUUGACCAUAAGCAUUCUAGGAAUGAGGUGCUGUGUGGGGAUUGAGAUGAACCUUGGAAAAUACUUAAGGAGAGGCUUGUUUUAUGCUGUCAGGAAAUCUUCAUCUUGUCACUUCGUAAAUUUUUGACCUUGCUCAGUUAGUUAGAAAAACAAAAACAAAAGCUUCCUGUCCACAACUGAGAUAAGAGAGUUUUGCAAGACAUCUCUCUGUCCUCGGAGUGUUGUGGCCUUCUGUGGGUUCUGUAGUUUUAAUUGCUAGUGGUUUCAUUCCUGCUCAGUUAGUGAAAUUGCGACAUUUUCCCAGUAUCUUAGCGUGACUGCCCUACAGCCUUAAUAAUGAUGAUUUUAGACUGUAGUUUAAGAUCUGCUGGGGCAAAUGCCUUCUCACUGCACAGUAUCUCAGCAUUCUCUGAUGUUUUGUCCAUUUAUUUUUCUAUAUGAAUUUAAGAACCAUUUUUAUCAAGUUUUAUAAAUGACCUUGGUGAUAUUUUGACUGGAAUGGCGUUCAAUUUAUAAAUUAAGUUGGGAAAUAUUAUCAUCUUUUCUGCAUUUAGUCUUAAGCCAGAAGUAUGGCCUCUCAAUCUGUUCAGGUCACUAUUUCUCUCAUUAAGGAUUUGUGUUUUCUUCAUGUAAUUUUAAUAUAUCCUAUGUGAGUUUGAUAUGUGAAUAUAUAUCAUAUAUUUCCCAAGUAUUAGAUGCUUUUGUUGCAUUGUGAGUGGGCACUCUUUUUUUAAUUAUAUUUUCAGGCCUCUUAUUAUGUAUUUAUAGAAAUGGUAUUGAUUUUUGUACGUUUUUCUCAUCUUCUGCCACUUUCAGAAUUGGUUGGUUUUUGAGGCAACCAGCAGCCUACUCAGGCAAACACUCAGAGAAGGUUUCUGGAGGAUUUGGUAGAAGAGACUACCUCAUCAGGGAAAGAGUUGAACUAAGUCAGCGGUUCCCAAAUGCCAGUCCACAGUGAAAUGAGAAAACGAAAGAUGUUGUAGUGGGGCUUUCAUCAAGCCAAAUUUAUUCAGGGGAGGGACUUUUGAUUUUGAUUCUUGAUUUUGAGGCUAUAUAAGCUUCCUGCCUUUUAGAAUUUUGAUAUCAUUUCUUUCUAGAAGGAUUGUAGAUGAUAAUUAGGGGUUUUGUUUUGCUUUAAGAUUUUAGAGUCUUUGAAAAUAAAUAAAUCAGAAAUCCUUAUAAUAAAUGAAUGAAUGAAUGAAUGAAUAAAACUGCUUGAAUUCUACCCUCCCCAAAAGAUUUUAGAUCUUUUUUUGUUUUUGUUUUUUUUUGUUUUUGAGACAGAGUCUCGCUCUAUCGCCCAGACUGGAAUGCAGUGGCUCAAUCUCGGCUCACUGCAAGCUCCACCUCCCCGGUUCAUGCCAUUCUCCCGGCUAAUUUUGUUUUUGCUGAUGUUGUUUUUUAAAUUUUGCUUUUAUUUAGUUUUCAGUGACUUUAUCUAGCAGAUUUUUUUAAAAAAAAGCAAAACAGCUGGCAACCCGAUGUGAGUGCCACACAUUUCUUUUGAAAUAUUAGCGUGGUCUGGCCGGGCACAGUGGCUUAUGCCACUGUUCGUAGAUUUUGGUCUAAAAUCUCAAAAUCUAGGAACCUCCAAUUCGAUGUCCUUUGGGUUUUACAGUUGUGAUAUUUGGUAAAUCUGGACUUCUUUUUAUAUUUUAAAAUCAUUUUUAGUUUAUUCUUUUGGGUUCUUCUAGUUAGUAGUGCCAGUUAGAUUGAUGUUUUUGUUACUUAUUUUGGCUUUCUCUGACUUCAUCCUUUGUCUAUGCCUUGCGUUGUCCUCUGAAAGUGUGUAGGAGAGAGAAGGGUGAAAUGGGGGCACCCUCGUUUUAUAUCUGUUUUUAAAGGGAUUUUUCUCUAAUGUCUUUUCUCUGACAGUAUUUAGGUGGGCUUCAAAGGGAAAAUAGAUGGUAUCUUAUGAGAGGGCUCAACAGAAAGUUUGGAGGUGAGAAACCAGAAGCCAGAUUUGGGAUCACACAGGCCUGGAUAUAAAUCUUGCCUCCUUCUGCUUGCUAGCUGACCAGUGACUAUGCCUGGUGGCGGUGAUGGUGCUGGUUAUGAUGGUGGUGUAGCAUUGGU
RNAcentral lists this long non-coding RNA (8886 nucleotides) under Homo sapiens (human). Its description in RNAcentral is "non-protein coding lnc-CTSZ-12:1". Lineage: Eukaryota; Metazoa; Chordata; Mammalia; Primates; Hominidae. The record is from RNAcentral.